Molecule: non-coding RNA, 528 nt
Organism: Listeria monocytogenes
Lineage: Bacteria; Bacillati; Bacillota; Bacilli; Caryophanales; Listeriaceae
Source: Rfam
GUAUUAAUAAAAUUCUUGUUUUUAAGUAAAACAGAAAUAACUUUUAACUAAAAGGAAAGUUCCUGAUUUUUUAUGAAACAUUGUGAAAGAAUGAAUAUUUUUUCACAAACUCUCUUAAAACCCAUGUUUUCAAUGAGGAUUUUGUGGUAAUAACUGGAGAGGCUACGUAAUUGGUUAAUAGGAAUUUAGAAAAAAGCUUCCGGAAUCUGCUUCUUUCUAUAGAAAGACUUUUCUUUUUACUACGCUAUUAUAAUUAAUACACAAUCAGGAUGGCAGUUUUAAAAGAAUCCAUUUAGAUGGGUAAAUGACCGGACGAGCGUUACAUAAAACGCAUACCUAACUAAUGAAGAAUUUGAAACUGUACAAUGUGAAUGACGAAAGGGUGGAUACGAAAUGGCUUCUAAAACAAAGAAGGCUAUUAUCGACGUAAAGAAACAAUUUGAGGCUGUUCAUAAACAAUUUGAAUUAGUUCAAAUUUUGAAUGAAAAAGGAGAAAUCGUUAAUCCAGAUUUAAUGCCGGAUUUAACU